UACAGAGGUCCCAAGCGUUGUUCGGAUUCACUGGGCGUAAAGGGUGCGUAGGUGGUAGGGUAAGUUUGAUGUGAAAUCUCCGGGCUUAACCCGGAAACUGCAUUGAAUACUAUCUUACUCGAGGUUUGGAGGGGGGACUGGAAUUCUCGGUGUAGCAGUGAAAUGCGUAGAUAUCGAGAGGAACACCAGUGGCGAAGGCGAGUCCCUGGACAACGCCUGACACUGAGGCACGAAAGCUAGGGGAGCAAACAGG
RNAcentral lists this ribosomal RNA (253 nucleotides) under uncultured bacterium. Its description in RNAcentral is "partial 16S ribosomal RNA". It matches the Rfam family "Bacterial small subunit ribosomal RNA", at positions 524 to 776 of the family's 1533-position model. The record is from RNAcentral.